UUUCCCGUAGGUGAACCUGCGGAAGGAUCAUUG
This 33-nucleotide ribosomal RNA is filed under the name Bulbophyllum manarae. RNAcentral's name for it is "partial 18S ribosomal RNA". The record is from RNAcentral. Lineage: Eukaryota; Viridiplantae; Streptophyta; Magnoliopsida; Asparagales; Orchidaceae.